Long non-coding RNA from Cucumis melo (muskmelon), 1276 nucleotides. RefSeq lists it as uncharacterized. The transcript has 4 exons. The record is from RefSeq and is a predicted model, not a curated record. Lineage: Eukaryota; Viridiplantae; Streptophyta; Magnoliopsida; Cucurbitales; Cucurbitaceae.
UCACCGCCAAGAUUUUGAAGACAUCCAAGUUCCCUUUAUUUUUUUUUUCUUUUUCCUUCUUCAAUUUGCAGAGAACUUCUAAGAGAGAGUUUGGAAGAAGAAGAGAAAUUUUACUAGAAUUUUUAGGUUGAACAAGAGGAGGAGAACUCAAGCAAAGUGUAUCAAUGGCUGAAUUUUAGUUCAUUCUGCACAUCACUGGUUUUUAAUUCGGUUUGAACUCUUCAAAAGCAAUUCAGAGAAUACAGGGCAGUUGGUUUUCACUCGAAAUCAGGAGGUCUCUGGUUUUUCUUGUAUUUCAGAGUGUAUCGGUGUAGUUAGAAUCUCUAUUUGGAACAAGUUAAAGAGGUCGUGUGCACGCGAUUCUGGAAGUGGUUCUGUUUUGAGGUUUAUAUGUGUUUAUGCACGGGGAAUCAGAUUUAUAUGUCGUCGGGCCGAGAAGAAUUAAACCGAGCUUAUAGACCAAGGAUCUAGCCCAAGACUGUGAGUGACAAAACCAACUUUGAAAUAUUUUCCAUAACUGUUAUUAUGAUUGAAUGCGAUAAAUGUUUAUUUACGAAGCCAUGAAAGGUAUUUGAAUUUCAUGACUAUUUUCAAGUAUACAUUUGGAGACUAGAUUUCUUAAAGAAAUUUAUGCUAGCACGUAGAUAUUAAAUGUUUGGAAAGUAUUUAAACCACAAUAUUUUAAGCAAAGCAUGAAUUAGUAUGAAGUUUUGUUUUAAGAACUACAAUUUUCCAGGAAAGAGCUGAGUAAAGUUCGAGCUUUGUGUAAAAUUUAUAAGCAGGCAUGUUUUAAUAUUUUAUGAUGAUUUAUGAAAUUUUCAUUAACUACAUGACUGAGAUCUUGAGCCUGAGGCUAGAGAUUACCGUGUGCACACUGGUUAGAUUUCAUUGUUGAUGUUGAGUGUACUCCGUAACAACGAUGCUGUCGUGAGUGCUGGGCGGGCCCCACUACGACAAAGACGAUGGGAGUGCUGGGCGGGCCCCACUACAUCGUAGUGCUUGUAAACGUUGUUGUACUAGGUGUACCCUACACAACGUAGAUUCGUCAUGUUAGUUAAAAUGCUUCGAUAUACUUGAUAUGCCUUGCUAGAUUUCAAUUAUGAACAUGCUGAGUAUUUAAGGAAGCUAUUCUUACUAUUACACAUUUACAUUUACGACUUGUAUAAACAGAUUUAUAUGUGUAAAGUUUUCACGUGCUCUUAUCUUUAAAUUCAUAGUUUUAAAUCGAGUCACUCACUGAGCUUCAUAGCUCACCCUUUCCAAAAUGUUUUACCCA